Molecule: ribosomal RNA, 493 nt
Filed under: uncultured bacterium
Lineage: Bacteria
Description: partial 16S ribosomal RNA
Rfam family: Bacterial small subunit ribosomal RNA
Source: RNAcentral
AUUGAACGCUGGCGGCAUGCUUUACACAUGCAAGUCGAACGGUAACAGGUUAAGCUGACGAGUGGCGAACGGGUGAGUAAUGCAUCGGAACGUGCCCGAUCGUGGGGGAUAACGCAGCGAAAGCUGCGCUAAUACCGCAUACGAUCGGAGGAUGAAAGCGGGGGACCGUAAGGCCUCGCGCGAUCGGAGCGGCCGAUGUCAGAUUAGGUAGGUGGUGGGGUAAAGGCUCACCAAGCCAACGAUCUGUAGCUGGUCUGGGAGGACGACCAGCCACACUGGGACUGAGACACGGCCCAGACGCCUACGGGAGGCAGCAGGGGGGAAUUUUGGACAAUGGGCGAAAGCCUGAUCCAGCAAUGCCGCGUGCAGGAAGAAGGCCUUCGGGUUGUAAACUGCUUUUGUACGGAGCGAAAAGGCCCUCUCUAAUACAGUGGGCUCAUGACGGUACCGUAAGAAUAAGCACCGGCUAACUACGUGCCAGCCGCCGCGGUAA